This is a long non-coding RNA of Mya arenaria, 488 nucleotides long. RefSeq lists it as uncharacterized. The transcript is spliced from 2 exons. The record is from RefSeq and is a predicted model, not a curated record. Lineage: Eukaryota; Metazoa; Mollusca; Bivalvia; Myida; Myidae.
GGAACAGUUUCGGAAAUUGUGAACGACACCAUGCCGUGUUUACCGUUUGGCGACAGAACCUUUGAUGGCAUUCUUUUAAAUACGGUACUACACCAUUUACAAAAGGAUAGAAGUUUUUCUACUGCCGUCGAUACCCUUAAAGAAGCCCACAGGGUUUUACAGAUUAAUGGCGUUAUAGCAGUGACCCUUGGUUUUCGAUCGAACAUGGCGAAUACAUGGUUUUCUCAGCUUGUACCCGAGUGCACAAAUCGAAUAAGCGACCUUUUGCUAUCAGAAAAUGACUGUAGACAAUUAUUUUCAGAAGCUGGUUUAAAAUGCUUAGUACAUGUAAAUUUCCUAGGAUUUGGAAUUUUCAGUGACAAAGACUACUAUGAUUACGAUGGGAUUUUAAGUGAUGAUUGGGUUAACAGUACCGUUAUGUUUGAUGAACCAUCUAAAGAUGAGCUUGAGAAGGUCAGAGAGGAAGUGAAAUUUCUGAGGAUGAGGGG